Molecule: ribosomal RNA, 497 nt
Filed under: uncultured bacterium
Lineage: Bacteria
Description: partial 16S ribosomal RNA
Rfam family: Bacterial small subunit ribosomal RNA
Source: RNAcentral
AUUGAACGCUGGCGGCAUGCCUUACACAUGCAAGUCGAACGGUAACGCGGGGCAACCUGGCGACGAGUGGCGAACGGGUGAGUAACGCAUCGGAACGUGCCAGUAGUGGGGGAUAGCCCGGCGAAAGCCGGAUUAAUACCGCAUACGACCUACGGGUGAAAGGGGGGGAUCGCAAGACCUCUCGCUAUUGGAGCGGCCGAUGUCAGAUUAGGUAGUUGGUGGGGCAAAGGCCUACCAAGCCGACGAUCUGUAGCUGGUCUGAGAGGACGACCAGCCACACUGGGACUGAGACACGGCCCAGACUCCUACGGGAGGCAGCAGUGGGGAAUUUUGGACAAUGGGCGAAAGCCUGAUCCAGCCAUGCCGCGUGCGGGAAGAAGGCCUUCGGGUUGUAAACCGCUUUUGUCAGGGAAGAAAUCUUCUGGGUUAAUACCUCGGGAGGAUGACGGUACCUGAAGAAUAAGCACCGGCUAACUACGUGCCAGCAGCCGCCGUAA